GGGAAUGUGGCUUAGUGGUAGAGUGCUUGCCUAGCAUGCAUGAAGCCAUAGGUUCAGUCCCUCAUUACCA
This is a non-coding RNA of Dipodomys ordii (Ord's kangaroo rat), 70 nucleotides long. The record is from Rfam. NCBI's taxonomy places the organism in Eukaryota, Metazoa, Chordata, Mammalia, Rodentia, Heteromyidae.